Molecule: ribosomal RNA, 253 nt
Filed under: uncultured bacterium
Lineage: Bacteria
Description: partial 16S ribosomal RNA
Rfam family: Bacterial small subunit ribosomal RNA
Source: RNAcentral
UACGUAGGUGACAAGCGUUGUCCGGAUUUACUGGGCGUAAAGAGCGCGCAGGCGGUCGUUCAAGUCGAGUGUGAAAGCCCCCGGCUCAACUGGGGAGGGUCAUUCGAUACUGAUCGACUCGAAGGCAGGAGAGGGAAGUGGAAUUCCCGGUGUAGUGGUGAAAUGCGUAGAGAUCGGCAGGAACACCCAGGGGGAAACCAGUCGACUGGGCAUCUACUGACGCUGAGGUGCGAGAGCGUGGGGAGCGAACCGG